This 264-nucleotide ribosomal RNA is filed under the name uncultured bacterium. RNAcentral's name for it is "partial 16S ribosomal RNA". It matches the Rfam family "Bacterial small subunit ribosomal RNA", at positions 934 to 1215 of the family's 1533-position model. The record is from RNAcentral.
GGAGCGUGUGGUUUAAUUCGAUGCACGAAGAACCUUACCCAGGCUUGACAUAGCAGUGAACGAUCGCGAAAGCGUGAGGCUCCUUCGGGACACUGUUACAGGUGCUGCAUGGCUGUCGUCAGCUCGUGUCGUGAGAUGUCCGGUUAAGUCCGGUAACGAGCGCAACCCUCGCUGUGUGUUAUAUGAGUCACACGGGACUGCCGGUAUCAAGCCGGAGGAAGGUGGGGAUGACGUCAAGUCAGCAUGGCCUUUAUAUCUUGGGCA